GCCCGCAUGGCUCAGUUGGUUAAGCACCUGACUUCAGUUCAGGUCACAGUCUCACAAUUUGUGAGCUCAAGCCCCACUUCAGGCU
This 85-nucleotide transfer RNA is filed under the name Felis catus (domestic cat). It matches the Rfam family "tRNA". From Rfam's summary of the family: Transfer RNA (tRNA) molecules are approximately 80 nucleotides in length. Their secondary structure includes four short double-helical elements and three loops (D, anti-codon, and T loops). Lineage: Eukaryota; Metazoa; Chordata; Mammalia; Carnivora; Felidae. RNAcentral also lists the same sequence under 2 other names. The record is from Rfam by way of RNAcentral.